Molecule: ribosomal RNA, 229 nt
Filed under: Clostridioides difficile
Lineage: Bacteria; Bacillati; Bacillota; Clostridia; Peptostreptococcales; Peptostreptococcaceae
Description: partial 23S ribosomal RNA
Rfam family: Bacterial large subunit ribosomal RNA
Source: RNAcentral
AAGGUAAUAGUCCUGUAUGUUAAACGAGAAGACUUUAGAUAUGAUCCAGAGUACCACGGGACACGUGAAACCCUGUGGGAAGCAGGAGGGACCACCCUCCAAGGCUAAAUACUACCUAGUGACCGAUAGCGUAUAGUACCGUGAGGGAAAGGGGAAAAGAACCCCGGGAGGGGAGUGAAAUAGAACCUGAAACCCUGCACUUACAAGCUGUGGAAGCACAUUUCUUGUG